This 1811-nucleotide long non-coding RNA is filed under the name Homo sapiens (human). Its description in RNAcentral is "non-protein coding lnc-PRICKLE2-7:2". Lineage: Eukaryota; Metazoa; Chordata; Mammalia; Primates; Hominidae. The record is from RNAcentral.
UUUCUCAAUUAUUUAAAAAUAUAAAAAUCAUCCUUAGCUUGCAAGCCAUACAGAAACAGGUGGUGGGCUGGAUUUGGCUCACAGGCUGAAGUUUGCCAGCCCCUGCUUUAGACCAUGGUGAGUAUGUUGGGCUUCACAUCAGUUCAGAAGGCCUGUUUACUGUGUGUAUAAGAACGUUUUCCCAAAAAGCCAGUGCAGGCCCUGAAAGCAUUAACCAAGCAGGCAGGCUAACAUGAUGCAUCUCCUUGCAGGAUGGUACCCGAGUCGUAGGGAAAUGCGGUGGUUACUGUGGAAAAUGCACUCCAUCCUCUGGUACUGGCCUGGAGGUGCGAGUUUUAUAGCUAAGGUGCUUUGAAGAGGAAGCCAUUAUGGAUGGAUGAAGGAUAGUAAUGCAAUACCUCCACCUUAAUUUGGGUGCAUGUGUAUGUGUGUGUGUGUUUGUGUGUGACUUGUAUGCUUGUGUGUGUAAAUGUGUGUACAUAUACAUAUAUACAUAUCUACACAUACAUAUAUACACAUAUAUGUGUGUAUGUAGAUAUGUAGACUAUCCUAAUGAUGUAAAGUUUAAUAUUUAUGUUUGAAAUUAUUUAUUGUGAUGUAAUAUUUUUGUACGUAAAAUGAUUCUAUUAUGACUGCCUUUGCAUGUAGUAAUAUGACAAAGUGAUCCUUCAUUAUCACGGUACACUAUUGUUUACUUUUCAUCUGUAAAUGUUUUAUUGUUACUUUUUUAAAAUGAAUUUUUUUAAAACAAUCUAGCCAUCAUCAAGGUGCUAUAAGAGUUGUAUAAAAGAUAUUUUUGGCAUUUCUAGGCAAGUAUCAGCCAAUAAGUAUGUUAGUGAUAUCACAGAUUGUACCAACUAUUAACUAUGUUAAAUAAGUAUUCAGUUUCAUGUGAUCUCUGGGAAAAAAAUAUGCUGCCUUGGUGCUAAUAUUGUAUGUAUUUAAAUGAUCAUCCGACUCAGAAAUAUAAACACUUUUAAUGAAAGGGAGGAACGGAAGGACAAUUUCCAGUGCACAGAAUCACUUGGAUGAAAUAAGACCAGCUCUUUACCCUUAUUUUUGGAUAUGCCUUUUUUGGAAGAGACUUAGACUUUAUCCUUAUUGUUGUUAGUGUUGUUAAUAUUCGUUGCUUCAGCCCACGGUGCCUUGGUCUCUCCACAAUCAAAUGGAGGAUCCCCCAAGCAGCUUCAUUACAGAGUGAUAUUGGGAAAGUGAGAUCCUCUCACCAUUUUGCCAAGAUACUCUAAAAUGACAUCCAAGUUUACCAGUAGAAAGACACAGGAUGCACAGAAUGGGCAUGACCUUCAGCUCACGAGCACACCUGGAGAAAUUCAGAACCAGGUUCUGAAUCAUCACGAUUGCCUUUUGCAUGAAAACAUCGGCUGGUGAUGUGACUUCUCUUCAGGCCAUGAGCCUAACACCCUGCCGGUUUUCAUGCCCGCUGCAGUAAUGGACGUUUGUGUGAAGAAAUGAACUGUGGAGUACAAAAUGCUUUGAGUCUUUCCGAUUGCUCAUUAAUUCACUUUUUUGUUACUUCUUUCCAAAAUGGAAGUGCUGAAGCCAUGGUCUUUCUGCCCCUCCAAGCUGAUGAAGGGAAGCCUUUGCCAAUGGCCCAUGGAAGACACUUGGUUUGAGAAACCCUGCCCACUUCCAAAGACCAAAGAGAUUAGGAAAAGCCUGGCAGUAUUCUCCAACUCCAAACAAGCUCUAGAGUGCUCCAGGAAAAGUUAUAUUCAGUAUAUGAAUAAGUGUUAUUCUCCAUUAUUAAUGUGUUCUGAAAAUAUAUUAUGAAUAAAUACAUCACCACACCC